GGGGCAUCCCGACUUACCAAACCGAUGCAAACUCCGAAUACCCAGAAGUGCCGAGCAUGGGAGACACACGGCGGGUGCUAACGUCCGUCGUGAAAAGGGAAACAACCCAGACCGCCAGCUAAGGUCCCAAAGUUGUGGUUAAGUGGUAAACGAUGUGGGAAGGCUUAGACAGCUAGGAGGUUGGCUUAGAAGCAGCCACCCUUUAAAGAAAGCGUAAUAGCUCACUAGUCGAGUCGGCCUGCGCGGAAGAUGUAACGGGGCUCAAACCACACACCGAAGCUGCGGGUGUCACGCAAGUGACGCGGUAGAGGAGCGUUCUGUAAGCCUGUGAAGGUGAGUUGAGAAGCUUGCUGGAGGUAUCAGAAGUGCGAAUGCUGACAUGAGUAACGACAAUGGGUGUGAAAAACACCCACGCCGAAAGACCAAGGGUUCCUGCGCAACGUUAAUCGACGCAGGGUUAGUCGGUUCCUAAGGCGAGGCUGAAAAGCGUAGUCGAUGGGAAACAGGUUAAUAUUCCUGUACUUCUGGUUACUGCGAUGGAGGGACGGAGAAGGCUAGGCCAGCUUGGCGUUGGUUGUCCAAGUUUAAGGUGGUAGGCUGAAAUCUUAGGUAAAUCCGGGGUUUCAAGGCCGAGAGCUGAUGACGAGUCGUCUUUUAGAUGACGAAGUGGUUGAUGCCAUGCUUCCAAGAAAAGCUUCUAAGCUUCAGGUAACCAGGAACCGUACCCCAAACCGACACAGGUGGUCGGGUAGAGAAUACCAAGGCGCUUGAGAGAACUCGGGUGAAGGAACUAGGCAAAAUGGCACCGUAACUUCGGGAGAAGGUGCGCCGGCUAGGGUGAAGGAUUUACUCCGUAAGCCCUGGCUGGUCGAAGAUACCAGGCCGCUGCGACUGUUUAUUAAAAACACAGCACUCUGCAAACACGAAAGUGGACGUAUAGGGUGUGACGCCUGCCCGGUGCCGGAAGGUUAAUUGAUGGGGUUAGCGCAAGCGAAGCUCUUGAUCGAAGCCCCGGUAAACGGCGGCCGUAACUAUAACGGUCCUAAGGUAGCGAAAUUCCUUGUCGGGUAAGUUCCGACCUGCACGAAUGGCGUAACGAUGGCGGCGCUGUCUCCACCCGAGACUCAGUGAAAUUGAAAUCGCUGUGAAGAUGCAGUGUAUCCGCGGCUAGACGGAGAGACCCCGUGAACCUUUACUGUAGCUUUGCACUGGACUUUGAGCCUGCUUGUGUAGGAUAGGUGGGAGGCUUUGAAGCGUGGACGCCAGUUCGCGUGGAGCCAUCCUUGAAAUACCACCCUGGCAUGCUUGAGGUUCUAACUCUGGUCCGUGAUCCGGAUCGAGGACAGUGUAUGGUGGGCAGUUUGACUGGGGCGGUCUCCUCCUAAAGAGUAACGGAGGAGUACGAAGGUGCGCUCAGACCGGUCGGAAAUCGGUCGUAGAGUAUAAAGGCAAAAGCGCGCUUGACUGCGAGACAGACACGUCGAGCAGGUACGAAAGUAGGUCUUAGUGAUCCGGUGGUUCUGUAUGGAAGGGCCAUCGCUCAACGGAUAAAAGGUACUCCGGGGAUAACAGGCUGAUACCGCCCAAGAGUUCAUAUCGACGGCGGUGUUUGGCACCUCGAUGUCGGCUCAUCACAUCCUGGGGCUGAAGCCGGUCCCAAGGGUAUGGCUGUUCGCCAUUUAAAGUGGUACGCGAGCUGGGUUUAGAACGUCGUGAGACAGUUCGGUCCCUAUCUGCCGUGGACGUUUGAGAUUUGAGAGGGGCUGCUCCUAGUACGAGAGGACCGGAGUGGACGAACCUCUGGUGUUCCGGUUGUCACGCCAGUGGCAUUGCCGGGUAGCUAUGUUCGGAAAAGAUAACCGCUGAAAGCAUCUAAGCGGGAAACUUGCCUCAAGAUGAGAUCUCACUGGGAACUUGAUUCCCCUGAAGGGCCGUCGAAGACUACGACGUUGAUAGGCUGGGUGUGUAAGCGUUGU
Molecule: ribosomal RNA, 1976 nt
Filed under: Pseudomonas aeruginosa
Lineage: Bacteria; Pseudomonadati; Pseudomonadota; Gammaproteobacteria; Pseudomonadales; Pseudomonadaceae
Description: bacterial LSU rRNA
Rfam family: Bacterial large subunit ribosomal RNA
Source: RNAcentral